AGAGUUUGAUCAUGGCUCAGAUUGAACGCUGGCGGCAUGCUUAAUACAUGCAAGUCGAACGGUAACAGAUUCUUCGGAAUGCUGACGAGUGGCGGACGGGUGAGUAAUACAUAGGAAUCUGCCCAUGUAGUGGGGGACAACUUGGGGAAACUCAAGCUAAUACCGCAUAAUUCCUACGGGAUAAAGAGGGCCACUGCUUGCAAGCUCUUGCUACUGGAUGAGCCUAUGUCGGAUUAGUUAGUUGGUAAGGUAAUGGCUUACCAAGACAGCGAUCCGUAGCUGGUUUGAGAGGAUGAUCAGCCACACUGGGACUGAGACACGGCCCAGACUCCUACGGGAGGCAGUAGUAGGGAGUAUUGGACAAUGGGCGCAAGCCUGAUCCAGCAAUGCCGCGUGUGUGAAGAAGGCCUGCGGGUUGUAAAGCACUUUCAAUUGGGAAGAAAGAUUAUGAGUUAAUACCUUAUAAUAUUGACGU
This 475-nucleotide ribosomal RNA is filed under the name uncultured bacterium. Its description in RNAcentral is "bacterial SSU rRNA". It matches the Rfam family "Bacterial small subunit ribosomal RNA", at positions 8 to 475 of the family's 1533-position model. The record is from RNAcentral.